GACGAACGCUGGCGGCGUGCUUAACACAUGCAGGUCGUACGGUAAGGCCCUUUCGGGGGUACACGAGUGGCGAACGGGUGAGUAACACGUGAGUAACCUGCCCACAACUUUGGGAUAACGCUAGGAAACUGGUGCUAAUACUGGAUAUGUGCUCCUGCUGCAUGGUGGGGGUUGGAAAGCUCCGGCGGUUGUGGAUGGACCCGCGGCCUAUCAGCUUGUUGGUGGGGUAGUGGCCUACCAAGGCGGCGACGGGUAGCCGGCCUGAGAGGGUGACCGGCCACAUUGGGACUGAGAUACGGCCCAGACUCUUACGGGAGGCAGCAGUGGGGAAUAUUGCACAAUGGGCGCAAGCCUGAUGCAGCAACGCCGCGUGCGGGAUGACGGCCUUCGGGUUGUAAACCGCUUUCAGCAGGGACGAAGCUUUUUGUGACGGUACCUGCAGAAGAAGCACCGGCUAACUACGUG
Molecule: ribosomal RNA, 465 nt
Filed under: uncultured bacterium
Lineage: Bacteria
Description: partial 16S ribosomal RNA
Rfam family: Bacterial small subunit ribosomal RNA
Source: RNAcentral